UACAGGGGGCUCGAGCGUUAGUCGGAAUCACUGGGCUUAAAGGGUGCGUAGGCGGCCUGUCAAGUGUUUUGUGAAAUCCCCGAGCUCAACUCGGGAACUGCAGGGCAAACUGAUGGGCUUGAAGCAGGUAGGGGCUGGAAGAACAGUUGGUGGAGCGGUGAAAUGCGUAGAUAUCAACUGGAAUGCCGAUGGGGAAGCCGUCCAGCUGGGCCUGUCUUGACGCUGAGGCACGAAAGCGUGGGGAGCAAACAGG
Molecule: ribosomal RNA, 253 nt
Filed under: uncultured bacterium
Lineage: Bacteria
Description: partial 16S ribosomal RNA
Rfam family: Bacterial small subunit ribosomal RNA
Source: RNAcentral